AUCCAGGCAAGAACAACGAUGGUUUAUCUGCAACUAAUGUGGGGAUCCAGUGUGCAGUGGCUGCAGACAGCAGCCUCCUUGGUAGUGGACAGAGCCUACUGCUUUAUGGGUUGGCCCAAGGAACCUCAGGCAGCC
This 135-nucleotide small nucleolar RNA is filed under the name Dasypus novemcinctus (nine-banded armadillo). Its description in RNAcentral is "Small nucleolar RNA SNORA70 (ENSDNOG00000040671.1)". It matches the Rfam family "Small nucleolar RNA SNORA70". From Rfam's summary of the family: snoRNA U70 seems to be exclusive to mammals and is a member of the H/ACA class of snoRNA which contain H (ANANNA) and ACA box motifs. Lineage: Eukaryota; Metazoa; Chordata; Mammalia; Cingulata; Dasypodidae. The record is from RNAcentral.